Mus musculus (house mouse) is the source of this 1764-nucleotide long non-coding RNA. RefSeq annotates it as predicted gene, 36538. The transcript is spliced from 3 exons. Lineage: Eukaryota; Metazoa; Chordata; Mammalia; Rodentia; Muridae. The record is from RefSeq and is a predicted model, not a curated record.
UGGCCUCAAACUUACAUGUACACAAGGAUAACCUUGAACUUCUGAUUCUCCAGCCUCCAUCUUCGGAGAGCAUAGACUACUAGUUUGUACACGGACUUUAUGUGAUGCUAGGGAUGAAAUACAGGGCUUCCUUCAAGCCAGGCAAGCAAGCUGUCAACUAAGCUAUAUCCCAAGCCUGGGUCACAUCACUUAUGGCUCCAGGAGACAUAGCUCUUGACCUGUCCAGGAUGAAGGGAAGAGUCUUAUGGAAGGACAUCUGCUUGAACUGCCAAACUGAGAAAUUGAGGCUCUGAAUCCAAACAAGCAGGACCCAGGUUCUAAACCUGCCAGGUUCCACGGCAGACAGGCCACAAGGGAGGAAAGAGAUAAGGAAACUCCUUGACAGUAAGAGCCUUACUUCCAGCACCUGCCGGAUAACUUACUGAUCACUUUCAAGCCCCAGACUUUUGUCCUGGCUACCCUUUAAUGGGGCUCACAGUUUUGCAUAGGUAGCUACAUAUUAAGACCAUGUAGUCCUGGCCCGACAAAGGUAAACCCUCUGAGGGUGAGCAGGAAGACUGAAAGCCACCGAUGCUUCAGCCGAACCAUCUCCAGGAAGACAUUCCCAGAUGUGCAUGGGCCACAGCUGGAACCUAUUCUGGCCUGUUUGUUUGAAACCUGGCUAGGAGCACCAUAUGGAGGAGCCAGCUAAAGAGAGAGAACUGAAUGGGUGUGUAGUGAAGAACCCAGAGCUCCCAAUAACUGGGAACAUGGAGUCAGGGCUCCAGGAGUAGGGAGAAGAAAACAUGCCCAGAAAUAAUGUUCAAGAACCAUGGGGUGGCCCAGGUGGCCCAGGCUCCUUCUCAGCUGGGUAUUUUUCUCCCCGAGAGUUAGGGCCAACCCAGAAUCUAAUCUAAAAAAUUGUUCUCUCCAGAUGAGUAGAAUCCCAAGUGCAAUCCUAGCCAUUGGGAUACUGAGGUAGGUAGAUUUCUGUGAGCUGGAGGCCAGCCUGAGCUAUUAUAGUGCGUUACAGGAUAGCCUUCGCUACCCAGCAAGAGCAAGACUCUCUGUUUAAAAAAAAAAAAUUACCUUUAAUCACUAAGUCGGGUGCAGAAGAUGUCUUCUUUCUGGAAGAAAAAGAUCCCUUGAAUUUUUGGAUGUCUCCAGAGACAAACAAAUCCACAGCGCAGACUGUCUCACCCUGAGACUGAUGUACCAGUUGUUUCAGGCUACUUCAAGCUCCAAGGCUCUGAGCAGAUCUAAACAGCCAGAGCCAGCUCUAGGUCUGUGGAAGAGGCCAGGGUGGCCUGAGGCACCUUGUGGAAAAGCCAUUUCUCAUCUGGCAGCCGAGAGGCUCGACAGCCCACCAUUUCCUCCGAAGAGGCCUGACUGUCAGGCUCCCCAGCCGAUGUUCCCUGGAAUUCCCAGACAGUGCACAGUGGCUGGCCACAGGAGGAAAAGGUAUAGAGACCAAGAUGGAGCCACUUGGGGGGCAUUGUGACUUCAGGCCCUGACUGUUAGCCAUGAGAGCCUGGGAUGUGAGAUCAAGGCCACCCUGCUACCAUCAUGUUUCUCUUUGCCCUGGGAACUAACGGGCCACACUCACUAGAGGAUUACGUAUGGAGAAAGUAUGUUGCCUGGGAUGUGCAGACACUGCCCUCCUUGGAGACCAGCCUCUUCCCUGCUCUGGAGCAACCCGUCUGCAAGCACGUGGUGGUCCUCCACCCCACUCCUGGGCCAGGAGCAAGUGGCUGCAGCCAGGCCUGGGCCAAACAGGCACUCACC